CCUACGGGAGGCUGCAGUGAGGAAUAUUGGUCAAUGGGCGAGAGCCUGAACCAGCCAAGUCGCGUGAAGGAUGAAGGAUCUAUGGUUUGUAAACUGCGUUUAUAGGGGAAUAAAGUGAGGAACGUGUGCCUUUUUGUAUGUACCAUAUGAAUAAGCAUCGGCUAACUCCGUGCCAGCAGCCGCGGUAAUACGGAGGAUGCGAGCGUUAUCCGGAUUUAUGGGGUUUAAAGGGUUCGUAGGUGGGUAAUUAAGUCAGCGGUGAAAGUUUGUGGCUAAACCAUCAACUUGCCGUUGAAACUGGUUGACUUGAGUAUAUUUGCGGUAGGCGGAAUGCGUUGUGUAGCGGU
RNAcentral lists this ribosomal RNA (347 nucleotides) under uncultured bacterium. RNAcentral describes it as "partial 16S ribosomal RNA". It matches the Rfam family "Bacterial small subunit ribosomal RNA", at positions 338 to 682 of the family's 1533-position model. The record is from RNAcentral.